UGCAGGUCUGACAGGCAGCACCGAGUGCGCUCCCACCUUAGCUGCCGAGGAACCUGGGCUGCUGCAUGCCUCAGGGGUGGUCUUUGUGGCUUGGGGUCUUUGUACAUCAAAGUAUAGUAAAAGUGCUUAGUUUGGUUAACGUCCCCUUCCUAGUGCUCGCAGCCAGGUGAUGGCUGUACUGAACUUCAAGACACGGGCAUCAGAGCUCUAGGCUGUAGCUCUCUCAGAACUGCUGUUUCCCUAUUGACUGGCGGGCAGUGGCAGGCAUUGGCUGCUGUCCCUCUGAUAGCAGUGUCUACUGUUGGCUGCUGUUGCUGUUGCUGAGGUUUCUAAGCAUUAGAGCUGGGCCCUCAAGCUACCCACCCCUGAGACAGUACGCAGGUACCCCUGAGACAGAACACAGGUACCCCUGAGACAGAACACAGGUACCCCUGAGACAGAACACAGGUACCCCUGAGACAGAACACAGGUACCCCUGAGACAGAACACAGGUACCCCUGAGACAGAACACAGGUACCCCUGAGACAGAACACAGGUACCCCUGAGACAGAACACAGGUACCCCUGAGACAGAACACAGGUACACAUAGAGACAGAACACAGGUACCCCUGAGACAGAACACAGGUACACAUAGAGACAGAACACAGGUACCCCUGAGACAGAACACAGGUACCCCUGAGACAGAACACAGGUACCCCUGAGACAGAACACAGGUACCCCUGAGACAGCACACAGGUACCCCUGAGACAGAACACAGGUACCCCUGAGACAGUGCACAGGUGAAGGCCCUGGAGUACCUGUGCCAGACACUCCGGGUGUGUCCUGUACAGGGCCCUCUGUGGGGGGGGUUCAGUCCGUGGGGAUGAAGAGCUUCCUUCUUCUGAAAUUGAAAGCAGAGGCCUUUCUCUGCAGCCUGGAGCCUGGAGGUACAGCAUUGCCAUGUCUCUUUAGCAGCCAGAGAGAAUUUUCUGGAGCCCUACCAGGACUCAGGCCUGGAAGCACACGGCAAACGUGGCUUACAUCUCG
Apodemus sylvaticus (European woodmouse) is the source of this 1026-nucleotide long non-coding RNA. RefSeq lists it as uncharacterized. The transcript has 3 exons. NCBI's taxonomy places the organism in Eukaryota, Metazoa, Chordata, Mammalia, Rodentia, Muridae. The record is from RefSeq and is a predicted model, not a curated record.